RNAcentral lists this ribosomal RNA (433 nucleotides) under uncultured bacterium. Its description in RNAcentral is "partial 16S ribosomal RNA". It matches the Rfam family "Bacterial small subunit ribosomal RNA", at positions 29 to 507 of the family's 1533-position model. The record is from RNAcentral.
AACGAACGCUGGCGGCAUGCCUAACACAUGCAAGUCGAACGAGACCUUCGGGUCUAGGGGCGCACGGGGGCGUAACGCGUGGGAACCUGCCCUUGGGUUCGGAAUAACUCCCCGAAAGGGGUGCUAAUACCGGAUAAUGUCUUCGGACCAAAGAUUUAUCGCCUUUGGAUGGGCCCGCGUUGGAUUAGCUAGUUGGUAGGGUAAAAGCCUACCAAGGCGACGAUCCAUAGCUGGUCUGAGAGGAUGAUCAGCCACACUGGGACUGAGACACGGCCCAGACUCCUACGGGAGGCAGCAGUGGAGAAUAUUGGACAAUGGGCGAAAGCCUGAUCCAGCACUGCCGCGUGAGUGAUGAAGGCCUUAGGGUUGUAAAGCUCUUUUACCCGGGAUGAUAAUGACAGUACCGGGAGAAUAAGCUCCGGCUAACUCCGUG